AGGCAGCAGUGAGGAAUAUUGGACAAUGGGCGCAAGCCUGAUCCAGCCAUGCCGCGUGCAGGAUGACGGUCCUAUGGAUUGUAAACUGCUUUUAUACGAGAAGAAACACUCCGACGUGUCGGAGCUUGACGGUAUCGUAAGAAUAAGGAUCGGCUAACUCCGUGCCAGCAGCCGCGGUAAUACGGAGGAUCCAAGCGUUAUCCGGAAUCAUUGGGUUUAAAGGGUCCGUAGGCGGUUUAAUAAGUCAGUGGUGAAAGCCCAUCGCUCAACGGUGGAACGGCCAUUGAUACUGUUAAACUUGAAUUAUUAGGAAGUAACUAGAAUAUGUAGUGUAGCGGUGAAAUGCUUAGAGAUUACAUGGAAUACCAAUUGCGAAGGCAGGUUACUACUAAUGGAUUGACGCUGAUGGACGAAAGCGUGGGUAGCGAACAGGAUUAGAUACCCUGGUAGUCCACGCCGUAAACGAUGGAUACUAGCUGUUGGAAGCAAUUUCAGUGGCUAAGCGAAAGUGAUAAGUAUCCC
This 522-nucleotide ribosomal RNA is filed under the name uncultured bacterium. RNAcentral's name for it is "bacterial SSU rRNA". It matches the Rfam family "Bacterial small subunit ribosomal RNA", at positions 346 to 870 of the family's 1533-position model. The record is from RNAcentral.